AUGGAGCAUGAUCGGGUGGAUGGGGAUGAGGAGGAAAAUUGGAAUCACCAUGGCCCAGAUCCAAAUCUGGAGGAUGUGUUUGAAGGCCUAAACUUACAUGGUGAGGAGGAGGAAGAUCUAGAUCUUUCAGGGGAGGUUGAUGAGUUAAUCAAGGAUGUGAGAUGGCUGUCUCUCUUUAGGGUUCAUACCCUACGCCCAUUCAGUCACACGGCCCUGUUAAACUCCAUGAGGAAUGCUUGGGCGUGUGCUCAAGGUGUGACGUUCAACAUCAAGGGACCUAAUUUGUUCUUGACGUAAUGCCAUUGUUUGGGAGACUGGAAGAGGGUUAUGGAAGGAGGACCGUGGCAGUUUAGGAGAGAUCCAGUGGUUUUGGUUGAAUAUGAUGGGUUUACUAAUGUCUCUGAUUACUCGUUGGACAUGUAUCCAAUAUGA
This 432-nucleotide ribosomal RNA is filed under the name Triticum aestivum (bread wheat). RNAcentral's name for it is "partial small subunit ribosomal RNA". The record is from RNAcentral. Lineage: Eukaryota; Viridiplantae; Streptophyta; Magnoliopsida; Poales; Poaceae.